Molecule: ribosomal RNA, 253 nt
Filed under: uncultured bacterium
Lineage: Bacteria
Description: partial 16S ribosomal RNA
Rfam family: Bacterial small subunit ribosomal RNA
Source: RNAcentral
UACGGAGGGUGCAAGCGUUGCUCGGAAUCACUGGGCGUAAAGCGUCCGCAGGCCGAUGCGCAAGUCGGAUGUGAAAGCCCGGGGCUCAACCCCGGAACUGCAUUCGAAACUACGCGUCUCGAGUACGGGAGAGGAAAGCGGAAUUCCUGGUGUAGAGGUGAAAUUCGUAGAUAUCAGGAGGAACACCUGUGGCGAAAGCGGCUUUCUGGCCCGAUACUGACGCUCAUGGACGAAAGCGUGGGGAGCAAACAGG